This 990-nucleotide ribosomal RNA is filed under the name human gut metagenome. Its description in RNAcentral is "bacterial LSU rRNA". It matches the Rfam family "Bacterial large subunit ribosomal RNA", at positions 1938 to 2925 of the family's 2925-position model. The record is from RNAcentral.
AACUAUAACGGUCCUAAGGUAGCGAAAUUCCUUGUCAGGUAAGUUCUGACCCGCACGAAUGGCGUAAUGAUUUGGGCACUGUCUCAACAGCCCGCCCGGCGAAAUUGUAGUACUGGUGAAGAUGCCAGUUACCCGCAACUAGACGGAAAGACCCCAUGGAGCUUUACUGCAGCUUAAUACUGAGAUUCGGUAAUUCAUGUACAGGAUAGGUGGGAGACUUGGAAACAUGGCCGUCAGGUCGUGCGGAGUCAUCCUUGGGAUACCACCCUUGGUUUGCUGGGUUUCUAACCUGCGGCCCUGAAUCGGGUCGGGGGACACUGUUAGGCGGGCAGUUUGACUGGGGCGGUCGCCUCCUAAAGAGUAACGGAGGCGCUCAAAGGUUCGCUCUGCAUGGAUGGAAACCAUGCGUCAGAGUGUAAACGCAAAAGCGAGCCUAACUGCGAGAAUGACGGUUCGAGCAGUAACGAAAGUUGGAGUUAGUGAUCCGGCGGUAUGUGAAUGGAAAUGCCGUCGCUCAACGGAUAAAAGCUACCCUGGGGAUAACAGGCUGAUCUCCCCCAAGAGUCCACAUCGACGGGGAGGUUUGGCACCUCGAUGUCGGCUCAUCGCAUCCUGGGGCUGUAUUCGGUCCCAAGGGUUUGGCUGUUCGCCAAUUAAAGCGGUACGCGAGCUGGGUUCAGAACGUCGUGAGACAGUUCGGUCCCUAUCUGUCGUGGGCGCAGGAUAUUUGAGGAGCUCUGUCCUUAGUACGAGAGGACCGGGAUGGACGUACCUCUGGUGCACCAGUUGUCAUGCCAAUGGCACGGCUGGGCAGCUAUGUACGGAACGGAUAAACGCUGAAAGCAUCUAAGCGUGAAGCCGACUCCAAGAUUAGAUAUCCCAUCGUAUAACGAGUAAGACCCCUUGAAGACUACGAGGUUGAUAGGCUGCGUGUGUAAGUGCCGUGAGGCAUUCAGCUUGGCAGUACUAAUAGGUCGAGGGCUUGACCAC